RNAcentral lists this small nuclear RNA (99 nucleotides) under Jaculus jaculus (lesser Egyptian jerboa). Lineage: Eukaryota; Metazoa; Chordata; Mammalia; Rodentia; Dipodidae. The record is from RNAcentral.
AUGCUUCAGCAGCACAUAUACUAAAAUUGAAACGAUACGGAGAUUAGCAUGACCCCUGCACAAGGAUGACACGCAAUUUGUGAAGAGUUCCAUAUUUUU